AUUGAACGCUGGCGGCAUGCUUUACACAUGCAAGUCGAACGGCAGCGCGGGCUUCGGCCUGGCGGCGAGUGGCGAACGGGCGAGUAAUGCAUCGGAACGUGCCCAGUAGUGGGGGAUAGCCCGGCGAAAGCCGGAUUAAUACCGCAUACGACCAGAGGGUGAAAGCGGGGGACCGAAAGGCCUCGCGCUAUUGGAGCGGCCGAUGUCGGAUUAGCUAGUUGGUGGGGUAAAGGCUUACCAAGGCGACGAUCCGUAGCUGGUCUGAGAGGACGACCAGCCACACUGGAACUGAGACACGGCCCAGACUCCUACGGGAGGCAGCAGUGGGGAAUAUUGGACAAUGGGGGCAAGCCUGAUCCAGCCAUGCCGCGUGCGGGAAGAAGGCCUUCGGGUUGUAAAGCGCUUUUGUUCGGGAAGAAAUCCUCUGGGCUAAUACCCCGGGGGGAUGACGGUACCGGAAGAAUAAGCACCGGCUAACUACGUG
RNAcentral lists this ribosomal RNA (484 nucleotides) under uncultured bacterium. RNAcentral's name for it is "partial 16S ribosomal RNA". It matches the Rfam family "Bacterial small subunit ribosomal RNA", at positions 29 to 507 of the family's 1533-position model. The record is from RNAcentral.